Molecule: ribosomal RNA, 294 nt
Filed under: uncultured Sandonidae
Lineage: Eukaryota; Cercozoa; Glissomonadida; Viridiraptoridae
Description: partial 18S ribosomal RNA
Rfam family: Eukaryotic small subunit ribosomal RNA (bases 99-294)
Source: RNAcentral
GACUUCUGGUUUAAUGCACCUGGCCCGCGGCUCUUUAGGCUUGUGAGCCGGCGCGAGUUUACCAUCCUUCUGGGGAACGGGUCUACCCUUAACUGGCCGGAUUCGGGAUCAUUCACUUUGAAAAAAUUAGAGUGUUUAAAGCAGGCGAUUGCUAUGAAUACAUUAGCAUGGAAUAAUAAUCUAGGACUUCGGUUCUAUUUUGUUGGUUUCUCUAACUGAAGUAAUGAUUGAUAGGGAUACCGGUCAGAGGUGAAAUUCUUGGAUUCGGUCAAGACUCACUUAUGCGAAAGCAUU